RNAcentral lists this ribosomal RNA (528 nucleotides) under Macrobrachium sp. 3 MYL-2005. Its description in RNAcentral is "partial 16S ribosomal RNA". It matches the Rfam family "Bacterial large subunit ribosomal RNA", at positions 1832 to 2620 of the family's 2925-position model. Lineage: Eukaryota; Metazoa; Arthropoda; Malacostraca; Decapoda; Palaemonidae. The record is from RNAcentral.
UGUGAAUUAAUUAUAAAGUCUAGCCUGCCCCCUGAUUUAUUUAAAGGGCCGCGGUAAUUUGACCGUGCGAAGGUAGCAUAGUCAGUAGUCUUUUAAUUGAAGGCUUGAAUGAAAGGUUGGACGAGGGAUAAGCUGUCUCCUUUACAUGAAUUUGAAUUUAACUUUUGAGUGAAAAGGCUCAGAUUGUUUAGUGGGACGAUAAGACCCUAUAAAACUUAAUAUAAGUUUGAUUUGACUUGUGAUUUAAGUGUAAAAGUAGUUUAAUUAGGUUUAUAUUUCGUUGGGGAGGCGUAGAUAUAAUAUGUAACUGUCUAUUUAAUUUAAUAAUUAUAAUUAGAAUGUGAUCCUUCUUUGUGGAUUAAAAGUAUAAGUUACUUUAGGGAUAACAGCGUAAUUUUCUUUGAGAGUUCUUAUCGACAAGAGUAGUUGCGACCUCGAUGUUGAAUUAAAAUUUUAGCUAGGUGAAGCCAUUUAGCUGGUAGGUCUGUUCGACCUUUAAAAUUUUACAUGAUUUGAGUUCAAACCGGU